UACGAGGGCCCCGAGCGUUGUCCGGAUUUAUUGGGCGUAAAGCGUCCGCAGGCUGUUUAGAACAUCUCCUGUUAAAUCCUGAGGCCUAACCUCAGGACCGCGAGAGAUAUGGCUAAACUAGAGGCCGGAAGAGGUAAGCGGAAUUGUUGGUGUAGGGGUUAAAUCCGUUAAUAUCAACAGGAACACCAAAUGCGAAGGCAGCUUACUAGUACGAGCCUGACGCUCAUGGACGAAAGCGUGGGUAGCGAAUGGG
This 253-nucleotide ribosomal RNA is filed under the name uncultured bacterium. Its description in RNAcentral is "partial 16S ribosomal RNA". It matches the Rfam family "Bacterial small subunit ribosomal RNA", at positions 524 to 776 of the family's 1533-position model. The record is from RNAcentral.